RNAcentral lists this ribosomal RNA (443 nucleotides) under uncultured bacterium. RNAcentral describes it as "partial 16S ribosomal RNA". It matches the Rfam family "Bacterial small subunit ribosomal RNA", at positions 338 to 795 of the family's 1533-position model. The record is from RNAcentral.
CCUACGGGGGGCAGCAGUGGGGAAUAUUGGGCAAUGGGCGCAAGCCUGACCCAGCAACGCCGCGUGAAGGAAGAAGGCUUUCGGGUUGUAAACUUCUUUUCUGAGGGACGAAGAAAGUGACGGUACCUCAGGAAUAAGCCACGGCUAACUACGUGCAAGCAGCCGCGGGAAUACGUAGGUGGCAAGCGUUAUCCGGAUUUAUUGGGUGGAAAGGGCGUGUAGGCGGGUAGGCAAGUCAGAUGUGAAAACUCAGGGCACAACCCUGAGCCUGCAUUUGAAACUGUUUUUCUUGAGUGCUGGAGAGGCAAUCGGAAUUCCGUGUGUAGCGGUGAGAUGCGUAGAUAUACGGAAGAACACCAGUGGAGAAGGCGGAUUGCUGGACAGUAACUGACGCUGAGGCGCGAAAGCGUGGGGAGCAAACAGGAUUAGAUACCCCAGUAGUC